Molecule: ribosomal RNA, 301 nt
Filed under: uncultured bacterium
Lineage: Bacteria
Description: partial 16S ribosomal RNA
Rfam family: Bacterial small subunit ribosomal RNA
Source: RNAcentral
CAGCCGCCGCGGUAAUACAGAGGUGCGAGCGUUAAUCGGAUUUACUGGGCGUAAAGCGUGCGUAGGCGGCUUUUUAAGUCGGAUGUGAAAUCCCUGAGCUUAACUUAGGAAUUGCAUUCGAUACUGGGAAGCUAGAGUAUGGGAGAGGAUGGUAGAAUUCCAGGUGUAGCGGUGAAAUGCGUAGAGAUCUGGAGGAAUACCGAUGGCGAAGGCAGCCAUCUGGCCUAAUACUGACGCUGAGGUACGAAAGCAUGGGGAGCAAACAGGAUUAGAUACCCGUGUAGUCCCUGUCUCUUAUACC